This 394-nucleotide long non-coding RNA is filed under the name Equus asinus (donkey). Its description in RNAcentral is "lncRNA (ENSEASG00005031093.1)". The record is from RNAcentral. Lineage: Eukaryota; Metazoa; Chordata; Mammalia; Perissodactyla; Equidae.
CUUGGAAGGAACGCAUCUUCUAAGAGGCCCACUGCAUGAUCUGUGAACAGGUCUUCUCCAGGCCUUAGCUCCAGCCUCUCCUCUAUGACAUUCGCUGUUCAUGCUGCCCAACUGAACGGGACUGGCUGUAAGGAAGUCCAAGGCCAACUUCUUAAGUGAAACCUCAAAACUUACUAAGCCGCUUAUUUUCCCACCACGUUUACAAAGUACUGAAUUUAAAGCAAACGAAAAACAAUGGACUGAAUGUUACAACAAAAGACACUGUAUCAACCAGAUUAACCAAGACAAGAGUGUGGGGAAGGUUUAAAUGGCCUCUCUGAGCUUUGUGCAGGCUCCGCCUAGUUCUAACACAGAGCAUGGACCUCUGGCAUCCACAUCGUUCUGGCAUGUGAUG